Molecule: non-coding RNA, 115 nt
Organism: Triticum aestivum (bread wheat)
Lineage: Eukaryota; Viridiplantae; Streptophyta; Magnoliopsida; Poales; Poaceae
Source: Rfam
AAUGUACUUCCUCCGUUCGGAAUUACUUGUCGCGAAAACGGAUGUAUCUAAACGUAUUUUAGUUCUAGAUACAUCCAUUUCCGAGACAAGUAAUUCGAAACGGAGGGAGUAAGAU